AUCCAUCUGACGAGUCCCAAAUAGAACUAAACACAUGCUCCUGCAU
RNAcentral lists this non-coding RNA (46 nucleotides) under Schistosoma margrebowiei. Lineage: Eukaryota; Metazoa; Platyhelminthes; Trematoda; Strigeidida; Schistosomatidae. The record is from RNAcentral.